UGAUAACACUGCUGCUGAUAGAAUACC
RNAcentral lists this non-coding RNA (27 nucleotides) under Mus musculus (house mouse). The record is from RNAcentral. Lineage: Eukaryota; Metazoa; Chordata; Mammalia; Rodentia; Muridae.